This 252-nucleotide ribosomal RNA is filed under the name uncultured bacterium. Its description in RNAcentral is "partial 16S ribosomal RNA". It matches the Rfam family "Bacterial small subunit ribosomal RNA", at positions 524 to 774 of the family's 1533-position model. The record is from RNAcentral.
UACAUGUGGGGCAAGCGUUGUCCGGAAUCACUGGGCGUAAAGGGCGCGUAGGUGGUGGCUUAAGCGUGCGGUGAAAGCUCGGGGCUCAACCCCGAGUCGGCCGUGCGAACUGGGCUCACUGGAGCAUAGUAGAGGCAGGUGGAAUUCCGGGUGUAGCGGUGGAAUGCGUAGAGAUCCGGAAGAACACCGGUGGCGAAGGCGGCCUGCUGGGCUAUGGCUGACACUGAGGCGCGACAGCGUGGGGAGCAAACG